GACCCAGACUCCUACGGGAGGCAGCAGUGAGGAAUAUUGGUCAAUGGCCGAGAGGCUGAACCAGCCAAGUCACGUGAGGGAAGACGGCCCUACGGGUUGUAAACCUCUUUUGUCGGGGAGCAAAGCGAACCACGUGUGGUUCAUUGAGAGUACCCGAAGAAAGAGCAUCGGCUAACUCCGUGCCAGCAGCCGCGGUAAUACGUAGGUGGCAAGCGUUAUCCGGAUUUAUUGGGUGUAAAGGGCGUGUAGGCGGGAAUGCAAGUCAGAUGUGAAAACUAUGGGCUCAACCCAUAGCCUGCAUUUGAAACUGUAUUUCUUGAGUGCUGGAGAGGCAAUCGGAAUUCCGCGUGUAGCGGUGAAAUGCGUAGAUAUACGGAGGAACACCAGUGGCGAAGGCGGAUUGCUGGACAGUAACUGACGCUGAGGCGCGAAAGCGUGGGGAGCAAACAGGAUUAGAUACCCUGGUA
RNAcentral lists this ribosomal RNA (467 nucleotides) under uncultured bacterium. RNAcentral describes it as "bacterial SSU rRNA". It matches the Rfam family "Bacterial small subunit ribosomal RNA", at positions 328 to 792 of the family's 1533-position model. The record is from RNAcentral.